UGGCGGACGGGUGAGUAACGCGUGGGUAACCUGCCUCAUACAGGGGGAUAACAGUUAGAAAUGACUGCUAAUACCGCAUAAGACCACAGUACCGCAUGGUACAGGGGUAAAAACUCCGGUGGUAUGAGAUGGACCCGCGUCUGAUUAGGUAGUUGGUGGGGUAACGGCCUACCAAGCCGACGAUCAGUAGCCGACCUGAGAGGGUGGCCGGCCACAUUGGGACUGAGACACGGCCCAA
RNAcentral lists this ribosomal RNA (238 nucleotides) under uncultured bacterium. RNAcentral describes it as "partial 16S ribosomal RNA". It matches the Rfam family "Bacterial small subunit ribosomal RNA", at positions 96 to 334 of the family's 1533-position model. The record is from RNAcentral.